Molecule: long non-coding RNA, 909 nt
Organism: Amphibalanus amphitrite
Lineage: Eukaryota; Metazoa; Arthropoda; Thecostraca; Balanomorpha; Balanidae
Exons: 2
Source: RefSeq, a predicted model, not a curated record
GAUGAAGUAGUACCUGGAUCGGCAACUCCUCGAUGUUUGUGACCACCGCUAGGUGGCAGUGGUGUCGAGCGCUAAGGACGCGGGGGAGCGGGUGCUAUUCAAAACAAUGGCCGGCGUCGCGUCGUGGGAUCGUUUGCCUUGUUUUUUGAAAAGUUAAGCCCCUUUGGAGCAGAUUGGAAGGUUUCAGAAGAUGGAGGAAGAUGGCAAGAUCAAAGAGAUGGGUUCAGUUUCCACGGUGUGCUGACUUGAGUUGGCAUCCUGUGAUUUGUGAUGUGAAUUAGGAUGCACGCACACGCAGGUGCACGCCCACUGCGGACACGUGUGACGUGACGGCAGCAGGCGGACGGGGUGUGAACUGGCUCGACCGAAAAUGUUUAAGUUAUCACAGCGUUUGUAACUGACUAACAUACCCACUACGCCCUAUACGGGCAUACCCAUUGAGCGGAUAAUGCGUUCGUGUGCAUCGUGUUUGCAUUUAUUCCCGAUAUACUCUGGUGGGAGAUGUGAAUUGGAAACCAACUUGGUGCUACGACACCGUUUAGUAGGCAUGUGGCACGUCGUUUCUCGAAACCUACCUAUCAGUUUAUGCAAUAAUAUGCAUUGUAUACAUUGUGUGUCAUCUUUCACCUUAGUUGUCAUUGAACCUGUGUUAAAUUCUGAACUUCAGGCCGAGACAGACUAUUUCCACAGUCAGGAAAUCGCACGCGAGAGCCUAUUCAAAUCCAUUAAGUUGCAAUAGCAUCAAUCGCAUGCAAGGAGGUGCGUGUUAUGGAUGCGAGUGCGACCGGGGUUUAUUUGAAUAGGCUCUCGGUCUCGCACAUGAUUUCUGACUGCGGAAAGAGUCGGUUUCAGCCUGUACUCAGUAGGCAAUUCGCUCAUGCGACGGCAAAUAUAAGUUCAAUAUGGAAA